Molecule: long non-coding RNA, 4962 nt
Organism: Calidris pugnax (ruff)
Lineage: Eukaryota; Metazoa; Chordata; Aves; Charadriiformes; Scolopacidae
Exons: 12
Source: RefSeq, a predicted model, not a curated record
AAACUGUUAAAAGUGGACAUUUCAGAAUUGUGGGAACUUUAUUCUUCCAUCUUUACUUCUGAAGCUGUUUGUGAAGUGCUUGCAUUUUGACAGAACUAUAUAGUUCAAGAAAAUGAGCUUUCACUAAACUGCCUCCAACUUCAAUAUAUGCCCUGUGUCAAACUCAGAGAAAGCUUGGAUGUAGUUCCAGCCUCUGUGGCUGGGGCUGAGUGCCAAUUAUGCUGCUCCCAAUGGCCUAUAACUGUCUUUUUUGCUUCUGUGAAUAUCACAUUUCUAGUUAAAAUCUUCAGGAUAGCUUGCAAACUAUUUGCUACUAUUGCUCCAGAGUUGAAAGUAACCUUGAAAACACUUCUCCAUGGUAGCAAUCGAGGUGAUUCUUCCAUCCUUUCUCAAAAAUGGCGGUAUAUCAUUCCUAUCUUUCCUGCUCAAACUCUCCUCAGCAGGUUUCUGAAGACCUUUUUAAGGUAGGUGUUAUCCUUUUUUUUUUCCUUUAUAUUUGAAUAUUUCAUCUCAAACUUCACAGGGAGACGACUAUCUCCCAACUGCACGAGUCCAGCCAGGAGUGUUUUGUAUGUAUGUUCUAAAGCAUUUGAUGCAGUCUGUACUGUGAUUAUAUAUAAAGAAAUUCAUUUUUAAAUCACCCCUUUAUUGGAAUGAGUGGGCCUUUUAGAGGACAAAAACCAUAAAGAUCAUACACAAACCUAGAGAGAUCUGAGAUGAGAAAUUCAAGUAAUUUUAAGAGUAUUUGAAGUAUGAACAGGGAAAUAUAAACAUUGAAAGCAUCAGUUUUAUUAUUAGAAUUAAAAAUUAAUUCUCAGAAUGAUUUCUGGGAUAAUUUAAAAGUGCUAAUGAAAGUAUUGGGCCAAAUUCUGAUCUCACAACUUUGUAAAAACUUCUCAAUGGGAGUUCAUUGAAAGGGAGAGGGCAUCAGCCUUGUUAUGUUCAGGCACAGUACAAAUAUAUUUCAUAUUUAAAUAAAAGACAGCUUCUGUGACACACAUAUUACAGAGCUAUAUUUCAAGGCAAUGCUGGCUCAUGGCCAGCAUAUUGCAACAGGCUGGUAAAAGAAAGCAAUGAAAUGAUUAGAUGCUGUGGCCUUGCAUUUGUUUUUCUGUUUAUGUAAUACUAAACCCUUACUAAUGUCAUCAUCAAUGUUAUUGUUCUAGUGUUGCAAAUUCUUGUAGUUUUCUCAUGACGUUCCUUAAAGCCUCAGCUGCUGGAAUCAGGUGAUCAUCAUGAGAAUUUCAAAUUUCUUGGUUUUUAAAUGUAACCCCCUAGUUGUAGAAACAAGUUCAAAACCAUGUUUUGAGUACAACUCAAACCAUCUUAUUAUAUGACUGUAUCAGAUGAGUCAAAAUAUGCAAUUUACAAAAAACAGUCUGUAUGUGAAACACAGAAACUGCCCUAAAAAUCCCAGCAUUUAAUUUAAACUAACUCCCUUGUUCCCAGUGCCAAUAAUUAAAAUAAGCCUGGCAUUCCUUGUUACCCUGUGAAAUUACCUGCAAGGCCUUUUCAUAUUGUUUCUAUGCUGUUGUUUUCAUGCUCAGUAGAGCAUUAAGAGUCAAUGAUGGGCAGCUCUUGUGUUACUCUAUGAAUCGUGGGGCAUUUUCCCUUGGACGCUAUUGAAAAUCCUCAAGGUGUUUAUUGACAAAUGCUUCCUACGGGCCGUCAUAAUAGAGAAUUCUCCUUUCUGCCUGCUCCCCAGUUCCUGCAAGGCCCAUCUGCUCCACAUCUAGGCAUGCUGUUUCAAAAAAUACAAAUACAUUUUUUUUCAGUACCCUCUGUAAUAUGCCUUCAACAGAAGUUAUGGAUCAAGUGUGCUUCCAGACCAAAGGUACUCAGUCCUCCAGCUUUGAACAGUGCACUGCCAUUUCCCCUCCAUUUGUUUCUAUGGUGCUGACUAUGUGUGCGGUCAUCCAUAAGGGUGCUGAGAUACCCUGGAGAGAGAAGGAAUAGCUGUAGCUAUUUUUCAUUAUUAUAUACUUCACUUCGUAAUAAAUGAGAUCCAUAGCAUGUGAACACUGGUCUUGUAGAUCAUCAUAUCAGCAAGCACAAGGAACCUUAUGUGCCACAAAGCUAAAUAAAAUAAACUAAGCCAGCCAGGCAAAAAUAGUCUGGUGAGACAUCAGUGUUCAGGAGUGUACAGUGUGUCUUCUCAGACUGAGAUCGGCCUCAGGACUUACAGUAAAUUGAGAACAAUUAGUUUUAAAGCUAAAGCCAUCAUCUGUAUAUCUGUCUCAUCACUAUCUCUAUUUAUAUACACAGGUAGCAGAAAUGUAUAAACUUGAAUUUCCAUUGUCUUGACGAUGUCUUUGGGAUAACAAAGACCAGCAAACAACUUCUGAUCUGAAAAGAAGCAGCAUCAGCAAUGGGACUCUUGUUCAACGCUCGUGAUGACGGACAAACCUCAACACGCUAUUCCAGGUGUGGCCUGACAAGCGCUGAGCAUUUGGUCCAGGAACUGGCCUUCCUGUAGCAAAGAGCAUCAGGAUGGGUAUGGUCUUCCCUCCCAGGACGUCUUCCAGCUCUAUGGAUGCUAUCAGCUGACACGUCUGGCUGGUAUCCUCUGCCAAAAAUACACACGCUCUCAACAUUUCUCAGGAGUUGGGUUUUUUUCCCCCUCUGUGACAUACUCAUGUCAAAUUUCUUCCUGGCUCUGUGAGACACAAGACUGUCCACACCUACCAGAUAAUGAGUUUAACAUUUCAAGGACAGAAGCUCUCAUUCUAAGCAAGACACAGGGUGGAUUUGCAGGCCUGAUUUGGGGUCAAGCCAGAGUUGGAAGCCGUUCUGCUCCCUGGAUCCUCCUCAGGGGUGUCCUGUCCUGGCCCUCCAUUGGUACAGUUAUCAGGUUGAACACCCUCCUGAGAAGAGCACAAUUCCUGUAACGAAGGAGGAUGAGCGCUGAGACACACACCCCAGCUCUGCAGCAGCAGAUGUUGGGUUUCAUCAUGGCCCAGUCUGACAGGCAGCUGAGAGCAACCUGCAAAAAAAACCCAAACCAAAACACAGCAAAAACCAAAGAUCCCCAAAUCCAGGGGCUCAACGAUCCAUACAUCCAGAUUUCGGAGUGACUGGUCCUCCUCCUGCUUCACUUGUGCCCUGAGAUCAUCUCAAAGCUGGACGUACACUAGGAUGAUCUAAAUGAGGAGAAGGAAGCAGGAUUACCAGGAAAGAAGGUUACUUGCUGCUUUAAGAGGACACGUGAGAGGACAUCCAAACUCCCCAAGGCUGUUUCUGGGGGGCUGGUGCAGGACCCAGGAUGCGGCUGCUCGUGGCAGUCAGGAGAUGGGAAUGAGAGCCAGCCUGACCAUGAAUUAGCUACAUCUCACUAACACUUCGGGGAGCUUCCCUUAGGCAAACAACCCUGGCUUAUUCAGUGGCAGAAGGAUGAAGGAUUAUCUUUGAUCUCGUCUUAUCCCCUGGAUCCCGUGGGCUGGCAUUUGUUCCAUGUCUGCAAACACACGAAAAGGAUGGAAAUCAUAAAGGAAGAGUUCAGAGAACUCCUCAAAGAGGUGCCAUGAAACUGAUGCCUUGGAGGUCCUGAGCAGUAUUCUCUGUGCCUCAGUUCCCUGUCUGUAAGAUGAGGGCACUCACAGGAGUGGUUUGAGGAGGAAAGUGUUCAUUGUGAUGAUGUCUGGAGAAACAACAAUGUUCUAUCAUCUGCAGACAUGCUACAUUGAUGUAGCAGCUCUGCUAGUGUGUGUCAGUGGUGUUUUAGUGGAAGACACAGUACAGGGGUCUUCAUCUUGCAGUCUUUCAGGAGCUUCUGGGCACAUUACUCUAGAUUUAGACCUCAAUUUAUCCCAAGAAGUAGAUGCCAAGGAAAUUCUUCCUGGUAGCUACUGAUAUUUGUGGCUUACUAGAGCCAAGGAGAAGUGAAGUGAGCUCUGCUAUUCCGUUUCUACCCAGUGAGGCUUUUCUUUUUCAUCGUGUUUGAGUUACAUUCCUUUCUGUGGCUAUACCAUGACACGUGCCAUUCUUCAAAGUCAGAGUCAUUCCCACCUGACUGCAUGCAAACCAAACCUAUGACAUCGUUCAGCGGUUCAAAGAGCUACAGCACCACCUCAUCAUCCAUCUUGGACACAACUCCUUCAAGCAGAGUUGCCGACCUGUCUCAGCCAAAGGCUUUGCAGCUUUUAGCUGCUGAAUACUCAGAGAGAAAUGAACCAGACUUUUUAGCUGGACAACCUCAGAACUGGAAAUUACAGCAGGGCUCUGCUUCUUCCAGCAUGUCUUUAUUGGCCUGAAGUCAGCCCCUUUCUUCUGGAAAUGAAGAUUCUCCCAGCACCUCUGUGGACCAGCAUUAUUAGCAAGUAUGUACUCUGGACCGCAUUCUUGUCUGAAUAUAAAAUUCCUGAGAACUUUCCUGCAUCUUAGCAAAAAAUGAAGUGGAGAUAUUUAUCAAUAUUUAUUUAUCCAAUUAGCCACCCUCAACAGCCUGUGCCUGGAGCCUUGUCCGCUUUGAUAUGUGCAAAAAACGUUCAAACUUAUUCAUCUUUUGCUUGAACUCUGGCAAGGUUUACAAAGUAGACACAAGCUCGACAAUGAACCUUACUCUGCAGCAAGCUUUCUCCCCAGAACAUCCCCAGUCCCGCAGAAGUUCAGACCUGGGUCUAAGCUGUCCAUCCCUGACACAUGCACCCAUCUUACAGAAGGAUCCUUAGGCAUCCUGUGGGCUCUGCUCUGCCUUAAGCCUCACAUUAACAUCAUCGAGGAGAAAUACAAAUUCAAACUGACACAGACUUGCUUGUCUCUUCCUUUGUGUUUAAACACAGAUGGUUGCUUUUGUUGUGCCGCCGCAUUUCAACCGAUGCAAGCAGCAAAGUACUUCACUGGAAUAUAUAUCUCUCCUUCAAACAUUCAGGGUUUUUUUGUAGGUGAAGUAUCAUUCUCAAGAAUAUAUACAGUGUUUUCAUGCAUCUUGAUCUAAUCCAUUAGUCCUUAUAAUUUAUUGUUAAC